GGCUGGUGCUGGUUUCUCAGACUGGGGCUGGGGCUUUAGGCCCUGGGGCCGGUGUAGGCCUCUCUGGCUGUGACUUCAGGCCCUUGGGCCGGUGCUGGCCGUGCUGGUUGGGGCUUCAGGUGCCGGCCUCUCUAAGUUUGGCUGUGGCUUUAAGCCCCUGCACUGUUUCAAGCCUUUCAAGCUGUGCCUUUAGUCCCCAGGGCCUUUUUUGGCCUGCCUGGCUGUGGCUUUGGCUUUAAGCCCCAUGGCCGGCGUCAGCCUCUCAGGCUGUGGCUUUAGGGCCUGGGCUCAGUGCUGGCCUCUUUUUUUGUGGCUUUAGAC
This 321-nucleotide long non-coding RNA is filed under the name Gallus gallus (chicken). Its description in RNAcentral is "lncRNA (ENSGALG00010000311.1)". The record is from RNAcentral. Lineage: Eukaryota; Metazoa; Chordata; Aves; Galliformes; Phasianidae.